CCUACGGGGGACCGCAGUGGGGAAUAUUGCACACUGGGGGAAACCCUGAUGCAGCGACGCCGCGUGAGUGAAGAAGUAUUUCGGUAUGUACAGCUCUAUCAGCAGGGAAGAAAAUGACGGUACCUGAUUAAGAAGCCACGGCUAACUACGUGCCAGCAGCCGCGGUAAUACGUAGGGGGCCAGCGUUAUCCGGAUUUACUGGGUGUAAAGGGAGCGUAGACGGCAGCACAAGUCUGGAGUGAAAUGCCGGGGCUUAACCCCGGAACUGCUUUGGAAACUGUGCAGCUAGAGGGCAGGAGAGGUAAGUGGAAUUCCGAUGGUAGCGGUGAAAUGCGUAGAGAUUAGGAGGAACACCAGUGGCGAAGGCGGCUUACUGGACUGUAACUGACGUUGAGGCUCGAAAGCGUGGGGGGCAAACAGGAUUAGAUACCCUUGUAGUC
RNAcentral lists this ribosomal RNA (440 nucleotides) under uncultured bacterium. RNAcentral describes it as "partial 16S ribosomal RNA". It matches the Rfam family "Bacterial small subunit ribosomal RNA", at positions 338 to 795 of the family's 1533-position model. The record is from RNAcentral.